This 252-nucleotide ribosomal RNA is filed under the name uncultured bacterium. RNAcentral describes it as "partial 16S ribosomal RNA". It matches the Rfam family "Bacterial small subunit ribosomal RNA", at positions 524 to 776 of the family's 1533-position model. The record is from RNAcentral.
UACGUAGGUCCCGAGCGUUGUCCGGAUUUAUUGGGCGUAAAGCGAGCGCAGGUGGUUUAUUAAGUCUGGUGUAAAAGGCAGUGGCUCAACCAUUGUAUGCAUUGGAAACUGGUAGACUUGAGUGCAGGAGAGGAGAGUGGAAUUCCAUGUGUAGCGGUGAAAUGCGUAGAUAUAUGGAAGAACACCAGUGGCGAAAGCGGCUCUCUGGUCUGUAACUGACGCUGAGGUUCGAAAGCGUGGGUAUCAAACAGG